UAACUGGCUUGUGGCAGCCAAGUGUUUAUUGUGACAUCUUUUUGAGAUCCUUCGAUCAAGGCUCUCCCUAUUACUGUGAAGUAGGAUUCACCAAGCUAUGGAUUAUUCACCUGCUAACGGGGAAUGUGGACUGGGUUCAGACCGUCAUGAGAGGUU
RNAcentral lists this non-coding RNA (156 nucleotides) under Lepisosteus oculatus (spotted gar). RNAcentral describes it as "Eukaryotic large subunit ribosomal RNA". It matches the Rfam family "Eukaryotic large subunit ribosomal RNA", at positions 2827 to 2984 of the family's 3401-position model. Lineage: Eukaryota; Metazoa; Chordata; Actinopteri; Semionotiformes; Lepisosteidae. The record is from Rfam by way of RNAcentral.